This is a long non-coding RNA of Mauremys mutica (yellowpond turtle), 316 nucleotides long. RefSeq lists it as uncharacterized. NCBI's taxonomy places the organism in Eukaryota, Metazoa, Chordata, Testudines, Geoemydidae. The record is from RefSeq and is a predicted model, not a curated record. The transcript is spliced from 3 exons.
AUUGCGGUGAUCAAAACAGAGUAUUGUUGGAGGAAAUAAACCAGGAUUUUGAAUUCCAGUGAGACACCUUUACUUUUUAAAAGUAUUUUGUCAGCUUAAAGUUUUGAUGAGGCAGUAAAGAUUUGCAGAAUCAAGACCUAAGAUGGGAGCCCUUUUCGAAAGAGACAACUUCAUUCACUGAAGAUACUGAAACAAAAACAGUGUCAUAAAUAACAUCCUUGUGAAGAGGUAUACUACCUCUUUAAGGGCCAGGACGGCCUGGGGGCAUAAUCAAGAGGCCCCAGCUCCACUGAAGGGCUGGGCUAUUUGGACAGGA